RNAcentral lists this ribosomal RNA (460 nucleotides) under uncultured bacterium. RNAcentral describes it as "bacterial SSU rRNA". It matches the Rfam family "Bacterial small subunit ribosomal RNA", at positions 339 to 797 of the family's 1533-position model. The record is from RNAcentral.
UUACGGGAGGCAGCAGUAGGGAAUAUUGGUCAAUGGAGGCAACUCUGAACCAGCCAUGCCGCGUGCAGGAAGAAGGCCCUAUGGGUUGUAAACUGCUUUUUUACGGGAAUAAAAAGCUCAUGCGUGAGAAAUUGAAGGUACCGUAAGAAUAAGCCUCGGCUAACUACGUGCCAGCAGCCGCGGUAAUACGUAGGAGGCAAGCGUUGUCCGGAUUUAUUGGGUUUAAAGGGUGCGUAGGCGGCCCUAUAAGUCAGUGGUGAAAGCCGACAGCUCAACUGUCGAACUGCCAUUGAUACUGUAGGGCUUGAGUACAAAUGAGGUAGGCGGAAUUGAUGGUGUAGCGGUGAAAUGCUUAGAUACCAUCAAGAACACCGAUUGCGAAGGCAGCUUACUAAGAUGUAACUGACGCUGAGGCACGAAAGUGCGGGGAUCAAACAGGAUUAGAAACCCCUGUAGUCCG